CACAGUGGGAGAAAUCGAGUGCGUUAUUUCCGAUCUCUAUUAAUAAAUUAAAUCCUGCUCAGAAUAUAAAUCGCACACGUGCGACCGUUUUGUUAGUCAUUGCAAGCAUUAGUUCUGAACUCUUGAAAGUACAAAGAUUUGGCAGAGCUUGCGAUUUCAUCUCCAGUUGUAUUUCGGUGGAUACGAAUGAAAUAGUAGAGGAUUUCGUUUGAGCCGAGCGGAAAUUGCUCGAAGAUCAGGCAGAGUUUGCGAUCAAACGUGCAGAUGCUGUUUCAGUGACGAGGAUGUCGUACCGGAGGAUCCGGUUCGGACAUUGCAGAGUCGACUCGAAGUUAUAAGGUCUAAUAAAAAUGACAGCGUAUUACUCUAAUCAAGAAAUUCGCGUAAAAAGAAGAUGCCAAGCGUGUAUGGAAAUGGAAGGAGGACAUGUGGAACAGCUUCUGUGAAGCCAGUAAAUCAUUCAUUCGAAUUUCGCGCGAUCGCGCGAAACAACAACAAACACAAACACAACACAAAGAAAACGGCCACUACAGCCCAGUGACUCGAGGCGGAGCGUGCUAUUUCCGGGUUUUCUAGAAUGAUUCCGCGCGUUCAUGAGACAAAUUACGGCACUUUUCGCGACCGUAAUCGUGACGGCAGUAAUCUCGUGAACGAUGGGAGCACCUGAAACUUGAGAGAUCCGGCAGAGUUUGUGAUACCAUACGGGCAGAUGCUGUUCCGGAGGAUGCCGCACCGGAGGAUCCGGUUCGGGCAUAGCAGGGUCGGCUUGAAGUUCGGAAAGCGGAACGCGGCCGGCCCUGACGUCCGAAUAUUUUAG
Odontomachus brunneus is the source of this 817-nucleotide long non-coding RNA. RefSeq lists it as uncharacterized. Lineage: Eukaryota; Metazoa; Arthropoda; Insecta; Hymenoptera; Formicidae. The transcript has 6 exons. The record is from RefSeq and is a predicted model, not a curated record.